UUGACCUCAAAUCAGGUAGGACUACCCGCUGAACUUAAGCAUAUCAAUAAGCGGAGGAAAAGAAACUAACAAGGAUUCCCCUAGUAACUGCGAGUGAAGCGGGAAAAGCUCAAAUUUUAAAUCUGGCGGUCUUGGGCCGUCCGAGUUGUAAUCUAGAGAAGUGUUAUCCGCGCUG
RNAcentral lists this ribosomal RNA (175 nucleotides) under Cystodermella cristallifera. Its description in RNAcentral is "partial 28S ribosomal RNA". It matches the Rfam family "Eukaryotic large subunit ribosomal RNA", at positions 1 to 172 of the family's 3401-position model. Lineage: Eukaryota; Fungi; Basidiomycota; Agaricomycetes; Agaricales; Squamanitaceae. The record is from RNAcentral.